UGAUUGGAGGAGAUUGGAGAGUGGGGAAUAAGGUUUUCGGAAGAGGACAAAGGGUAAACAGUGCCCUAGAAGCUCACGGGUCCCCCUUGUAAUAGUGGGGUCCCGACGUUGGGUCGACUCAAGAAUUUUCUUGGGUCGACUCAACGUUGGGUCGACCCUAUUCUGGGUUGGGUCGACCCAAGUUCAGAAAUUUUUUCUUUCUCUUCCUUUUCGCUUC
This 217-nucleotide long non-coding RNA is filed under the name Phoenix dactylifera (date palm). RNAcentral describes it as "long non-coding RNA (PDAC_LNC020215)". Lineage: Eukaryota; Viridiplantae; Streptophyta; Magnoliopsida; Arecales; Arecaceae. The record is from RNAcentral.